CGAAAGCCUGACGGAGCAAGACCGCGUGGGGGAGGAAGGCCCUUGGGUUGUAAACCCCUUUUCUCAGGGAAGAAGACCUGACGGUACCUGAGGAAUCAGCCUCGGCUAACUCCGUGCCAGCAGCCGCGGUAAUACGGAGGAGGCAAGCGUUAUCCGGAAUUAUUGGGCGUAAAGCGUCCGCAGGGGGCGCAUCAAGUCUGCUGUUAAAGGCUGGAGCUCAACUCCGGUAGAGCAGUGGAAACUGGUGCGCUAGAGGGCGACAGGGGUAGAGGGAAUUCCCAGUGUAGCGGUGAAAUGCGUAGAGAUUGGGAAGAACACCGGUGGCGAAAGCGCUCUACUGGGUCGCACCUGACCCUCAGGGACGAAAGCUAAGGUAGCG
Molecule: ribosomal RNA, 379 nt
Filed under: uncultured cyanobacterium
Lineage: Bacteria; Bacillati; Cyanobacteriota
Description: bacterial SSU rRNA
Rfam family: Bacterial small subunit ribosomal RNA
Source: RNAcentral